Molecule: ribosomal RNA, 1545 nt
Filed under: Klebsiella pneumoniae
Lineage: Bacteria; Pseudomonadati; Pseudomonadota; Gammaproteobacteria; Enterobacterales; Enterobacteriaceae
Description: bacterial SSU rRNA
Rfam family: Bacterial small subunit ribosomal RNA
Source: RNAcentral
AAAUUGAAGAGUUUGAUCAUGGCUCAGAUUGAACGCUGGCGGCAGGCCUAACACAUGCAAGUCGAGCGGUAGCACAGAGAGCUUGCUCGGGUGACGAGCGGCGGACGGGUGAGUAAUGUCUGGGAAACUGCCUGAUGGAGGGGGAUAACUACUGGAAACGGUAGCUAAUACCGCAUAACGUCGCAAGACCAAAGUGGGGGACCUUCGGGCCUCAUGCCAUCAGAUGUGCCCAGAUGGGAUUAGCUAGUAGGUGGGGUAACGGCUCACCUAGGCGACGAUCCUAGCUGGUCUGAGAGGAUGACCAGCCACACUGGAACUGAGACACGGUCCAGACUCCUACGGGAGGCAGCAGUGGGGAAUAUUGCACAAUGGGCGCAAGCCUGAUGCAGCCAUGCCGCGUGUGUGAAGAAGGCCUUCGGGUUGUAAAGCACUUUCAGCGGGGAGGAAGGCGUUAAGGUUAAUAACCUUGGCGAUUGACGUUACCCGCAGAAGAAGCACCGGCUAACUCCGUGCCAGCAGCCGCGGUAAUACGGAGGGUGCAAGCGUUAAUCGGAAUUACUGGGCGUAAAGCGCACGCAGGCGGUCUGUCAAGUCGGAUGUGAAAUCCCCGGCUCAACCGGGAACUGCAUUCGAAACUGGCAGGCUAGAGUCUUGUAGAGGGGGGUAGAAUUCCAGGUGUAGCGGUGAAAUGCGUAGAGAUCUGGAGGAAUACCGGUGGCGAAGGCGGCCCCCUGGACAAAGACUGACGCUCAGGUGCGAAAGCGUGGGGAGCAAACAGGAUUAGAUACCCUGGUAGUCCACGCCGUAAACGAUGUCGAUUUGGAGGUUGUGCCCUUGAGGCGUGGCUUCCGGAGCUAACGCGUUAAAUCGACCGCCUGGGGAGUACGGCCGCAAGGUUAAAACUCAAAUGAAUUGACGGGGGCCCGCACAAGCGGUGGAGCAUGUGGUUUAAUUCGAUGCAACGCGAAGAACCUUACCUGGUCUUGACAUCCACAGAACUUUCCAGAGAUGGAUUGGUGCCUUCGGGAACUGUGAGACAGGUGCUGCAUGGCUGUCGUCAGCUCGUGUUGUGAAAUGUUGGGUUAAGUCCCGCAACGAGCGCAACCCUUAUCCUUUGUUGCCAGCGGUUAGGCCGGGAACUCAAAGGAGACUGCCAGUGAUAAACUGGAGGAAGGUGGGGAUGACGUCAAGUCAUCAUGGCCCUUACGACCAGGGCUACACACGUGCUACAAUGGCAUAUACAAAGAGAAGCGACCUCGCGAGAGCAAGCGGACCUCAUAAAGUAUGUCGUAGUCCGGAUUGGAGUCUGCAACUCGACUCCAUGAAGUCGGAAUCGCUAGUAAUCGUAGAUCAGAAUGCUACGGUGAAUACGUUCCCGGGCCUUGUACACACCGCCCGUCACACCAUGGGAGUGGGUUGCAAAAGAAGUAGGUAGCUUAACCUUCGGGAGGGCGCUUACCACUUUGUGAUUCAUGACUGGGGUGAAGUCGUAACAAGGUAACCGUAGGGGAACCUGCGGUUGGAUCACCUCCUUACCUUAAAGAA